Molecule: long non-coding RNA, 6285 nt
Organism: Serinus canaria (Common canary)
Lineage: Eukaryota; Metazoa; Chordata; Aves; Passeriformes; Fringillidae
Exons: 3
Source: RefSeq, a predicted model, not a curated record
UCUGUUAGAGAGCAGAGCAGCACCUUGUGAGUUGUGUGUGAAGGCAGCUUGAGAUGGGAAGAGAAAACAUCCCAGUGAGCCGUGGAUACUCCUUAUCUAGCGCAGACACUUGUUCAUCCCAGUGGAGGGGAGCCUCAGCUACUUCAACAAACAUGGCUAUUUCCACCUCCCUGGCCCUAGCUGGGAAAGCUGGCACCAGUCCCAAACCUAUCCUAGCUCUCUCCGAGGCUGCUGACGGUGACUUGCUGGUUGGGCUGACAGCCAGGAUAAGUGGUGAGUGCCGGACUGCAAUGCUUUUCCCUCAGGCAACAACCAGUCAACCCGGGGUAAAACAGCAGUUCCUCCAGGAGUCGGGAAAUGGCAAAUUUUCAACCAUUUAUAUUGUGGCAACACCUGAAGAGAAAUUCACAGAAGAAAAAUGAGGUAUUUUCUGUGCUGAUCACUAGCUUCCUGCCAGAUUUCAAAGGUGCCAGAUUUUUAUUCUCAGCAUGAAAACAAUUACCUAAAGAACGAGGGUGACACAAUUAACAAACACGAAACAAUUAAUAAGCGUGAAUUAAUGAAGGUGUUAGAACUUCUCAAAAGAGGUUGCAGGAACAUUUUGCUAUGUGAAGUGCCAGUUAAAGGCAUCACAGUGCAUUGUCUAGCUCUAUAAACUGGCAGGUGUAUUCAGCCCAUGUGGAUUAAACAGACUUACAGAAGGUGAUAAAGGAAAUUCAACCCUUGAUAAACAAAAUAAAGAUGCAAAUCUCUCAAAACCAAACUCUCUUUUGUGAAAAAAACCACCUAUCACAACAGUAAUCUCAGUCUUCCUAUCCUCCCCCUGUCCCAGGGAGGUGUCUGUGGCAAGACCUGGGGAGCUGCUCUGUUUCUGUGACACCCUCUUGCCUACAGAUAAAGCUCACAGGAGCUGAAAGCGCAUCAGAAUUUUAUUCACAAUUUCCCAUUGCAUCACACCAGGCAACUACAAACACAAUACCCAAUGUUAGCUGAGCUGGUGUGACAUGGGUUUUGUUCUAACACAAAAGUGUGUCUAAACCUGUUCCAUCAACACUUUUUGUCAGGUAUGAGACAUGCAAUGAUUAAUGGAGAGAGACUUCACCAAGCAGGGCCACUCCACGCCCUCAUCCACCUAUUACCAAUUCCCACCUAUAGAAAACAUGUCUGGGCAAGACUCCACUGUAUUUGCUAGGUGAGAUGUUUUCUCAGGAAAAUAAUGAGAUUAUUCAUCUAGAGAUUAGGGAGCUUGAUUUAACCUUUCCUUUGAAGGAGCGGACUCCUUAAUGACACAGCGCUCUCCUAAGCAAUACCACACACCUGUAUUUUAAGUCAUGUUGGACUUAGACCUGACUCGGGCAUAUGGUUUGUACUAACUGUGUCAUAACUCCUAAGAACUGUGUAAAUUGGAGUCCUGGGCUGGUUUUUUUUUUUUUUUUUUUUUUCCUUAAAUUGAAUAAUUAGGCAUAAUCACUGCUGCAGAUGCUUCUUGCCAGGGAAUAAACCAUAUGCUAUGGAAAUGCUUCAGUACUACAGUUGUAUUUUAUUGGUCUAUUUGUUUUACUCUUUCAGUUGUACUGAAGUAGUUCAAGCAUUUUCAUAUGGACAAAGGUUUUAGGAUUUGAUGGCUAGUUCACUGAAGCUGCUGUCGCAUGUUUAUAAAUUCUGGUUUAGACAUUUGUAAACAUUUAUUUCCCGGAUACCAUCAGCCCAGACUCAGCCCAGACUCUAGAAGGGAGGUAUUUUUAUAGUGAGAAUGUAGCUAUUUUCACUAUAUGUUUUUAUUAUGACAAUUCACCGUGUGCCCUUGCCCAACUCCUCACUUGGGGGCACUUUCACAAGCAUUUCUGUGCAAGUGGUUGAAGUCCAAGCACAAAAAGCAGGGCAGUAUGCUUUCAGUUGGAAUUUUACAGAAACAAGCACAUAUUUGUUAGGUAUUUUCCCCCCUUAAUUUGUAAUUUUGUUUAGCUUUGGGUUUUUUUGAGAAUUGUUACUAGAGAACAGCAAAUAAAUAAAAUGUAAUGUGGUUUGAAGCAGAUUGACUGCCAACUAGAUUUUUUAAAAAGGCUGUAAUAAAUCAGUGAGUCAUCUGACAUUCACAGGAAAAAUGUGGGAUGUGCAGUAAGAAAGGAAAGUAUAGAAUGGAAAGGGUUGCUGCCCUGUUCUCCUGCUGUGCCUGUGUUACUGACUGCUGGAGAUUGGAUCUUAACCAGCACGGCCAUAUCAGAAAGAACCUGCCUCACAAGCACUUCAGAGGAACAAGGGCAAGAGUUGAAUUCAUACCUUGUAGUGAGGGAAUUGCCAGAAAAAAAGAUCAAGAAAGAAAAAAAAAUACAAAUUAUCUCUGGAUAUUUUUAAGCAUGGGAUAGGUUGAUAGAGAGCAGAAAACCUUUCAGAAAGCCAAAUGAAAGUCAUUAGUGUCUGGGACUAGGGGGAGAUUGUUAGGCAGGAAGAAAAAAAUGUAUUCUGGAUUAAUUACACUGUAGACUUUUUCCCUUGGGUUCUCUCCCAGUUGGAGUAUUAAUGCUUUGUAGUUAAUUAGCCCUUCCUCCCUUCCAAAGGAUUUUACGAUAUUAAUUAAUAUAUUAUUGUAAACCAAUCAAUCCUGCCAAUUGGCUUUAAGAAUUGCACAAAUGGUUAAAAACAAACAGCAACUAAAACAGAGACAUUAUUAUUCAAAGUUUUUUUUUAACUUGAAUUGGGCUGGUCAGCCCUAUAACACAGAGGUUCCAGGAUCCCUGCAUGUAGGAAAUUUAGGUAGACACACUAAAGGCCAUAUAGAAAUGCAGGUCCCAAUCCUGAAAUACCAUCCCAAGUCAAACCAUAAGUCCUAACCCAAAAGGACUUUUCAACUUAUACUUAGCUGUAAAGGUGUAAACAGUCUAACAGAAAUUUUAAAAUUUUCAAAGAACUAAGUGGUGCAUUAAAACCCCAGUGGAGCUGGUCCCUUUGCCAAGGUUCAUUUCAGGGAGAGUUUCACAGGGGUGAGGAGCUGCAGCAUGAAGACCAGUUACUGCAGCAGUUGCCAAAAUACUUUGACAUUUUUGAAGCCAAGCUGCAGAGGUCAUUAUAAAUCUCUUUAGGGAAGAUGUGAGAGACAGUCAAGGAGGAGGAAGGGUUGCUUUUGAGACGAGCUGUAAUUUAAUGUCUUGUAAAGGGUCAUCAGUGAAAUAUAGUGAGUACUGAGGCUGAGUUUAGACAGCAUCUGUACUGAGCUAUACUCAUGGUAUAACGCAUUGGCACCUCUCAUGAGCUGCUAUUUUAUUCCCCAGAAUUCCACAGUUCUUUAACAGAAAUAGAGAAAAGUAGGAAAAAAAGUGGAUAUAAAUAAAAAUGCAUACAGACAGGGUGGAGAUCAGAGCAGAACCUGCACAGAGCUUGGAACUCAGCCACGGGGAGGUCAGAGGAGUUAAAUCAUCAUGAAUAUCAACAUUUUAACUGCUGGGUUUGCUUGUGUAGGGGCUGGAUGCAUGGACUGGGCACACCCUGCAAUCACACUCCCGGCUAAUGAGGAACAAAGGAUCUCCGGUAGCUUUUGACCAGGCACACACAGUGGCAAAGCUCUCCAUUUUAUAACAAAAUCCAGGAGAGAGGGGUAGCUGGGGCCAUGGCAUCAGCACAUUUUCCUCACACAAAAGAGGUUGCACAGGGUCACAAAUCUACCUUCUCACUGCAAUUUGUCAUCUCAUAGAAAUGUGCUUUGAGUUUUUUUUCCUUCCUGUAAAGAUGUGACCACUCCUUCAAGACUUACCAAAGUUCCCAGAUCAGAGGUAUUUGAUAUAUGUUGCAAAAGCAUAAUUAUCCCUUCCUAAGUGUUCCUUCCUCCCAGGUGAGGAUAAGCCAGGAAAAAUUGUGAGUUACUUGGAUGGGUCAGUUCCAAGUGGAAUUUUAUUUGGAAGAAAAGCACAAUUCUCACAGAGUACCAGCAGCAUUAUUUCUUGUAUUAUUAGACAAUAAACGAUAAUGCAUUGCAUCCCAGCUUUAACAGAGAAGCUUCACAGUCAUAUUAUAAACAGGAACAUUAGGAGUUUUAUCAUCUUGUUCCAGGUAACCAUCUUGUUCCAUAUAAUUAUUUAGCUUUUUCUUCUUGGAUGAAGCAAUCUUUGAAAAUCUGCUCAUAUUUAAUUAGGCACAUUCCCUACUGAUUGCCACAGGCAUCUCCUGUGCAGGUGUAGUCUUGAAGCUGUAAAUUCAUUUUCAGGAGUGAUUCCAGGAAGGAGCUGGUCAGGGUAGAAUCUGCAGCAAAAACCUUCAUCACUGGUCUUACCAUGUAAGAGAAGACAACCUGCUCUGAGGCUCACUUCUGAGCAAGGAACAAACUGAGCAAUGAGACCUGGUCAGGGGUAGGUUUUCUUGUUAUUCUUUCAUGCUCAGUGCUUGGAAACCUUGCCCUUAGCUUCCUUGAAGUUACCUGGAGUUUAGAUGCACUCAGAAUCAUCCAAAAGUAGGUCCUAAUUAACUGAUCCAAAGGCAGGACAUUGAAUGACUGGGAUGGGCUUUGUGUUCCCACUGACUGAGGGAUAAGUACUGUGAUUGCACAUGCACAUUCCCACCCUGCCCUCAACCUGUGAUGAUCAGCUCCAUGUGAUCCCAAGCUUUAACACCAAUGAAAAGGAUAUGCACUAAAGCUGACAGCAGCAUAUGGCCACUCCCAGCACUUCAGUCUGCUUCAUGACUGGCUGGGGAUUUCUCUUUAGGCAAAAAAUAAUGGCAGCUCUGGUUGUUGGGGAAAGAAGAGGCUGGGAAAAUUAAUAAAGGGGCAGAAAAAAAUGGGGCUUCAGUAUAUUCCACAGGGAACCGAAAGUGUCUGAGUCCCUCUGUCACACUACAGAGCACAAUCAAAACAGGUUGACCGUGCCAUAGCCUCGUGACUAACGACAGCAAAGAAUGAAAGUUUCUAUUUGCAAACCACAACUGUGUCAACCUGUCUGGGACAUAAAGAUUGUACAAGCUUAGAACUUCUCCACUAGAAAGCAAAAAAUGUUAUGCGCUGAGAUCUACCAGCUUUGAGGAUCCAGCAGCCUCUUGCAUUCAGUGAAAUGAGGGACUGGAGAGAAAAAAAGAAUAGAGAUACUCUGUUGAGGCUGGACCUCUUGAAGAAGUCCUGAUGGCAAUGGUAGUGUUCCCAUAUGGAACACCAUCUUGAGGAAUUUCCCAUUUGUUGCCCCAGUACAACUGCACGUAGUCUGCAGUACCCAUACCUACAUUUUAGGAAGAAGAAGGUUCAGUGUUUAACUCUCCUACCUGAUCUUAAGAUGAUGUCUGACUCAGAGAAAGUAAUAACCAACUGCUGAGAAAUAGAAAUAAUUUUUAAAAAGGAAGGCUGGGACUUUCAAAAGAGUGGAUGGGGUGUUCGCAUCAGACCAGAGACUUCAGAGAAACAAAACAAACAAACAAACAAAUCCCCUUUUUAACUGCUCAGUUUAUCUGUUAAGUUUUUUAAAAUGGAUCUCUCUAGUCUGGUCUCAGAGUUUCACAUGAUGUUUGGGAAAUCAGUUUCUGGCUUCUCUCUCCUGGUGCAGCUUCUAUAGGAGCAUGAAUUUCCCCUGACAUUGGCCCAUCCUUUUUCUUUUACAGUGUUACACAAUGUACUUUGGGUAGUGGCAAAUUCAGCUCUAAUCUUUUCAUCUCCAGAAGCAGCUGAUUUUCUUUAGGUGCUGUAAGAAGAGACUUUGGGGAUCCUCUGGAGGGGACAGACUGGCUUUCUGAUUCCACAACUCCCCUGAAGCAGUAAGUAGUGCACACAGACAGAAUGACCAACAUGCAAUUCAAAAAGAAAAAGGAGCAAGAGAGAGAUUUGUUCCUACAACUACUGGACCUAGUACAAGAGAAGGCUCUAAAGCAUAUCCCAGAGAAUACUCAGAGGACUGAAAUGGAGCUCAUUGCCCUGGAAAGAGCCCUGACACAGGCAUUGAGGGGAGGAAUGUCAUGGACUAACUUCCUUUGUUAUUGGCUCUAAUGACUGCACCCCGGAGAACUGCACUUGGGAGAAGAUACACAUUCAGGGGUGGUUGGAGGGCCACCCCACAGCUCGCAGUGUGCAAUCCCAUCACCAGAAGAUGGAGGAGAACAAAGGCAUUACUGACACUGGUCAUUCUUAAGCUGUGGUGUGUGCUUUGCAGAUCCCUAGUACUUUUCCCUGUGGAGGUCCUGAUUUGUAUCCAAUUAUCUUCCACUCUCCUUGCUUUGUUGCUUACCUGCCUCAUUACCAAAAUUCAGGAGGGGCUUGCUAUUCAGGAAACAAUGCGAUUCCUCUGGUUUUGCAUUUAUUUUCUGUUAUUGCUUAUG